ACAUUUGGUUCCCUCAUCCACAGGGGUGCAAGAUCCAGAACAUGAGUCGGGAGUACUGCAAAAUCUUCGCAGCAGAAGCCCGAGCCGCACAUGGCUUUGGGGAGGUGCCUGAGAUCAUCCCACUGUAUCUGAUCUACCGGCCUGCAAACAAUAUCCCAUAUGCUACCCUGGAGGAAGACCUGGGCAAGCCCCUGGAGUCUUACUGUUCUCGGGAAUGGGGCUGUGCUGGGGCUCUGACAGCAUCUGGCAGCUCUGAGGCCAUGCAGAAAUGCCAGACCUUCCAGCACUGGCUGUAUCAGUGGACAAAUGGCAGCUUCCUUGUCACAGACUUGGCAGGGGUUGACUGGAAGAUGACUGAUGUGCAGAUUGCUACCAAACUUCGAGGAUACCAGGGCCUCAAGGAAAGCUGCUUCCCUGCCCUGCUGGACUGGUUCGCCUCCUCCCACCAGUGCAACGCCUACUGUGAGCUGCUGGGGCUAACACCUCU
This 487-nucleotide small RNA is filed under the name Pongo abelii (Sumatran orangutan). RNAcentral's name for it is "retained intron". Lineage: Eukaryota; Metazoa; Chordata; Mammalia; Primates; Hominidae. The record is from RNAcentral.